Molecule: non-coding RNA, 1753 nt
Organism: Myodes glareolus (Bank vole)
Lineage: Eukaryota; Metazoa; Chordata; Mammalia; Rodentia; Cricetidae
Source: RefSeq, a predicted model, not a curated record
UAAGACCAUGAUGGGAACAUCCACUGAAACAGCUUACCUGAGAACUGGAGUCUGCAGAGACAAAAGAGAUCUCCGAGCUUCAGCGUGGAUCUAAGAGGAUGCGUCCCUGUCUGUCUGUGCGUGUGGGUCGUACUCAAGGGUGACUUCGUCAUUAGGGCCUCAAGACGGCUGUGUUACAGCUUUUCUGAUUCAUAUAGUCCUCUUCUCUUCUGACUGCCUUUGCGCAUGGCCUACUUCGGAAUUUCUGUGAUUUUGCCUAAAGUGCUUCUUUCUGUCCAUUGUAAGAAAUCAGACCGCGCAUCCACAGUUUGUGUGUGUGGAGUUUAACGCCAGCUUCAUUGCACAGGUAUGUCCCUGGCUAACCAAAUAAGGUCUCCCAAGAGGCCAUUCAGGGGCAUUUGCUCUUGGGUCUGGACUUGAUUCGGGGAGGGGCAGAGUGAACCUGCAGUGGGCAAACUGUCGGUCAGAUGUGCAAUCAGCAUCCUUCUCCCUCCGAUAACCGCAGGCGCAGAACUCGGCUGCUCCCUGCUGCUGGGCCCCACACCUGCCCUUCUAUGUGUGAUGGAUGGGCUCUGUGCAAAGAGGAGCCAACACAGCCAGUCUGAACUUCUCCGUGUCGUUUCUAGCUAUCAAUUCAAAAUGACCAACAAACAAAGUCCUGGGGAGAAAGAGAAGGUGUCAGUGUGGUUUCCCAGUUCUCUGGUCUUUACGAACACCCGUGAGACCGUUAUCAGGCGAACAAACAGAGAUGCAGAUUUAUCUGCGGCUAAUCAGGCAGGAGUCAUGAGGUCUUCUCACUGUGUGGAUAGGGAGGUUAGGAGCUAUUGAUUGGGGGAGAUAUUUUUGAAUGAAUUGGGACUGCUGAGCUCUGAGGGAGACUUCUGACAGCUUCUAAGAGUGAUCCCAGGGAACGAGAGUCUUGGGUGUAACCACCUCCAAGACAGCCGGAAGUAAUAUUAAGAAAGCAAUGUCCCCUCUCCCAACCUAGGGAGACCUGUGAUGUGCUUCUCCCCUGGGAUAACACGUCCUCGGGUCUGCCUGAGGGACGCCCUUCUUUGGGAGAGGACACAUGGUCACACAUAGGCCAUCCCAAGAUGACGCCAGCCUCACUGUGAAGUGGAAGCAAGUGCUAACUUCUCGUGUACCAUUUCUGCCUCUGUGGGCCCUUCACCUCAGGGAAUUCCUUACUGGAGACGGUAUGUCCUCCUCACUUGAAGUUCAGAGCUUCUGACCUAAGAUUGAACCUCUUCUGGCCAAACCAAAUCCCUCUCCAUUAUCUCACAAAUUUGGCCUGAGAAAGGGAACAGGCCCAGGAUCCUUCCCUGCCAAAGUCAAGAUCAGAGAGUCUGCUGCUGUCAGUUCCCAGAAACCACAGAGCAGGACUCAGACCUAGAGAAAUGUAUAGUUCACAUGUCCAGAGACCACAGCCUCCUAAACCUCCAAAUGACACAUAAAAGCAUGACCAUAGUCUGUGCCGGGAGGAGCAGGGAGUCAGAAAUGCCAACAGGGGUAAGAAGAGAACAGCACACAGUAGUGUGCCAGCCAGAGGGUGCCCAAGCUAGCAUCACAGGAAAAUUCUGCUUGUUUUCAAACCUUUGCUUCGCAUACACCCCUGCCCAAAGGUAGCAGAAAGCUUAAAUACAUUUUAAAAUGUACUUCCCUAUGUCACAAUAUAGACAGAAGUGUAGCAUGAUGGCCGGCUUGUUGGGGUUUCUGUCCUGCCCGGUACCCCACAACCAGCAAUUCCCAAAGA